Harmonia axyridis is the source of this 847-nucleotide long non-coding RNA. RefSeq lists it as uncharacterized. Lineage: Eukaryota; Metazoa; Arthropoda; Insecta; Coleoptera; Coccinellidae. The transcript is spliced from 2 exons. The record is from RefSeq and is a predicted model, not a curated record.
CUCAUUGAUUUGUUAGCGUUUAAUUCUUAGUUCUUAGGUUAAAUCUUAGUUCUUAGGAAUGGUGCAUAAACCCACCAUUAAAUGUAUACCAUAGAGUAAUAAACUUAUUGCUCUGAGUCUUAUAUAAAGUAUAUACAUAUACAUUACAUCAUACCACAUCACGUUGUUAUAAAGGAUAAAAGGAACGGAAAUAAACAUUUAAUUGUGCUCGAUCCCUAACGACCCGAAUACAAGAGAGAUGGAAGUUUAGUGUCGCCAAUCACAAUCGAGCUAACUUCGGCUAGCUCGAAUUCAUAGCCGUGCAGAAUCCUGAUUUGAUCGUUGAAUGUUUCAUCAGGAAUCCUUUUUUCAUAACUUCACAAUAACCUAAUCAAUGAACUGAAGAAAACAAUGACCUUUUUAAUACAUCACCCUAUUUCCUGAAGAAGUAAAAAGGAGAAAAGUAUGGGUUCAGUUUGCGAAUAAACUUGUCUUUGUCCUUGAAAUUAAUAUGUUUCUUAUGCUCAUCAUUUUUCUGAAGAUUAUUCACCAUGUGCACCUUUUUCUGAACGAAUUUGUUUUUUUAUAUUCAACUGAAUUUAAAUGCUGCAAAUGUAAUAUGCACCCCCACAAAGAAUAUUAUCGUUUUAAUAUUACACUUACUAACCCCACUAUGAACAAAGUGAUUCUCAACAAGUGAAUUUGAAGAAGUAUUAACAAAUGCUUUAUGCUACUGCUCCUUUCUGAACUGCGCUAAGCGCAUGCAAAACCUGUUUGCAGUUCUUGGGAUCAGUUGAAUGUUCAUUAGUUUAUCACAUUUUAAUCAACGAUCAUUGUAAAUUGUUAUUUAAUAUAAAAUUGAUUAUUA